Molecule: RNA transcript, 3273 nt
Organism: Triticum aestivum (bread wheat)
Lineage: Eukaryota; Viridiplantae; Streptophyta; Magnoliopsida; Poales; Poaceae
Gene name: auxin response factor 12
Exons: 17
Source: RefSeq, a predicted model, not a curated record
ACUGUGCACACGCGCACUCCCACUCGCACUCGCACUUGCGCCUCCCAGUCUCAUCCCGCUUAAAUGCCCCGGACCUAAUCAUUCCCACCCCUCCCCUCUCCCCUCUCUCUCUCUCUCCACCCCCACCCUCCUGGCCGGCCACCAUGGCGAUCUCCGAGCUCGGCUGACCUGACCGGACGAGAUGAGAAUGCGGCGGAUUUGAGGAUGGGGUUCCGCCGGGCGGAUUCGUGAGAGGGGUCCUUGGUUUUUGGUGUUGGUGCUGCGGGUGCGGGGGAGAUGAGCUCCUCGUCAGGGGCCAGCCUUGGCGGCCAGCCGCCGCCGCCGCCGCCCGCCGCGCCGCCGGAGGAAGAGAAGAAGAACCUCAACUCGGAGCUGUGGCACGCAUGCGCCGGCCCGCUCGUCUGCCUCCCCACCCUCGGCACGCGCGUCGUCUACUUCCCGCAGGGCCACAGCGAGCAGGUGGCGGCGUCCACGAACAAGGAGGUGGAGGGGCACAUCCCCAACUACCCCAACCUGCCGCCGCAGCUCAUCUGCCAGCUGCACGAUGUCACAAUGCAUGCUGAUGUGGAGACCGACGAAGUGUACGCGCAGAUGACGCUGCAGCCGCUGAAUCCACAAGAGCAGAACGACGCCUACCUGCCGGCGGAGAUGGGGAUCAUGAGCAAGCAGCCGACCAACUACUUCUGCAAGACGCUGACGGCCAGCGACACCAGCACGCACGGCGGCUUCUCCGUGCCCCGCCGUGCCGCCGAGCGCGUCUUCCCCCCUCUGGAUUUCACGCAGCAGCCUCCUGCUCAGGAGCUAAUUGCGCGGGACAUUCAUGAUGUGGAGUGGAAGUUUAGGCACAUCUUCCGAGGCCAGCCCAAACGACACUUGCUAACUACUGGCUGGAGUGUGUUCGUUAGCGCCAAAAGACUAGUUGCUGGAGACUCAGUGCUCUUCAUAUGGAACGAGAAAAACCAGCUUUGGCUAGGAAUCAGGCGUGCCAACCGGACACAGACUGUGAUGCCUUCCUCUGUUCUUUCGAGUGACAGCAUGCACAUAGGGCUCCUUGCAGCUGCGGCUCACGCUGCUUCUACAAACAGCCGCUUCACAAUUUUCUACAAUCCGAGGGCAUGUCCAUCAGAAUUUGUCAUACCACUCUCAAAGUAUAUCAAGGCUGUUUUUCACACCCGGAUAUCGGUCGGCAUGCGGUUCAGGAUGCUCUUUGAGACCGAGGAAUCUAGUGUUCGCAGGUAUAUGGGGACGAUAACAGAAGUGAGUGAUGCUGAUCCAGUGCGUUGGGCUAGUUCCUACUGGAGAUCAGUUAAGGUUGGUUGGGAUGAAUCAACUGCUGGGGAAAGGCCGCCUAGAGUUUCUUUAUGGGAGAUUGAACCAUUGACAACCUUUCCUAUGUAUCCGUCUUUGUUUCCGCUGAGGGUUAAGCAUCCCUGGUAUUCUGGUGUAGCAGGCCUUCAAGAUGACAGCAAUGCUUUGAUGUGGCUGAGAGGAGUUGCUGGAGAUGGAGGUUAUCAGUCUAUGAACUUUCAGUCACCUGGUAUUGGCUCCUGGGGACAACAGAGGCUCCAUCCUUCUUUGCUGAGUACCGACCAUGAUCAGUACCAAGCUGUAGUUGCUGCUGCUGCCGCCGCCUCCCAGUCUGGUGGUUAUAUGAAACAACAAUUCCUAAACCUUCAGCAGCCUAUGCAGUCGCCUCAAGAACACUGCAACCUCAACCCGCUCUUGCAGCAACAGAUCUUGCAGCAAGCAAGCCAACAACAAACCGUUAGUGCUGAUAGUCAGAAUAUUCAGGCAAUGCUGAACUCAAGUGCUAUGCAGCACCAACUUCAACAGCUCCAGCAACUGCAGCAGGUGCACCAGGUGCAGCAGGCGCAGCAGGCUCACAUUGAUCAGAAGCAGAAGAUUCAAUCAGAUCAAACAUAUCAUGUUCCUACUAGUGCGUCUCUCCCAAGUCCAACAUCACUACCAAGCCAUCUGCGUGAAAAAUUUGGCUUCUCUGAUCCUAAUGCUAAUUCGUCAAGCUUCACCACUUCUAGCAGCAGCGACAACAUGCUGGAAUCGAACUUCCUUCAGGGGAAUUCGAAAGCUGUAGACUUGUCUAGAUUCAAUCAGCCAGUAGCUAGCGAUCAGCAGCAGCAGCAGCAACAACAGCAACAGCAGGCUUGGAAGCAAAAGUUUAUGGGUUCACAAUCACUGUCUUUUGGGGGCUCGGGUUUGCUUAGCUCACCCACAAGUAAAGACGGUUCUCUUGAGAGCAAAAUUGGUUCUGAUGUGCAAAAUCAGUCCCUUUUUAGUCCUCAAGUUGAUUCUUCCUCCCUACUGUACAACAUGGUGCCUAACAUGACUUCAAAUGUUGCGGAUAACAACAUGUCUACGAUUCCUUCUGGAUCAACAUAUCUGCAAAGUCCCAUGUAUGGUUGUUUGGACGACUCUUCUGGUAUAUUUCAGAAUACAGGAGAGAAUGACCCAACAAGCAGAACAUUCGUGAAGGUUUAUAAGUCAGGAUCAGUGGGGAGGUCCUUGGACAUCACCCGGUUCUCCAAUUAUGCUGAACUUCGGGAAGAACUGGGUCAGAUGUACGGCAUUAGGGGUCAGUUGGAUGACCCCGAUAGAUCAGGCUGGCAGCUUGUAUUCGUCGACAGGGAGAAUGAUGUGCUUCUCCUUGGAGACGACCCUUGGGAGUCAUUUGUCAAUAGUGUAUGGUACAUCAAGAUACUUUCACCAGAGGAUGUGCACAAGUUGGGCAAGCAAGGAAAUGAUCCACGUUACCUUUCCUAAGUGCAAGAUCAUUGUGCUGUUUCUGUGGACUUCCAUGGAGAAAAUUCAGAUUUUUAUGGCAUCUCUGAUCCAGCGAGGAUUCGACAGCACAUGGUAGCACCCUUGCUCACGGCGGCACAACAUCCCCGGAACCUCCCAUCGUCUCAUCUUCGUACCUGUCUCUUGUGUGUGCUCCGUGCACGUCUCGAGAGCUCCCCGUCCGUUACCUAUCUCCGUCCGGUGCAAGCCACCGACACCAUGAACUGAUAUUUCUGUAGGUUCCUCUUGGGAAUCUGUAUCGGUUUAACUUUUAUCCUAGAUGGUUUGUACCCCGCGUGGCGCGGCAGCCCAUCUGCCCGUCUGUUCACGCGCCGCAUCAAAUGUUUCAAGACUAUGCUUAGUUGGUACUGUGUUCGGUCGUAUUCUAUCUAUGUAUUCGAGACUCCCAGGCACGCUUUCCUUGAAGAACUGCAAUAAUUUGAAUGCAGGAGGAUUAUUUCGAGUCGUUUUGAUGAA